RNAcentral lists this long non-coding RNA (339 nucleotides) under Trifolium pratense (red clover). RNAcentral describes it as "long non-coding RNA (TPRA_LNC011028)". The record is from RNAcentral. Lineage: Eukaryota; Viridiplantae; Streptophyta; Magnoliopsida; Fabales; Fabaceae.
AAUUUUCUUGUGAAUAGAAAAUGUUGCAAUACAAACAUUAAAAACUUGAUUUUUUUUAUUCAAGCAUAUUGGUAAAAGUUUGCUAUUGAUUGUGAAGAGAAAUAUUCACCUGAAGUGAAAUCAAAAUUCUUCUCUUACUUGAUUAAGGUUGUUAACACAUGGAAGAUUGAAUUUAUUUGAAAAAUGUGUUACGCUAUGUUUAUAUGUCACUUGUUAGCGUGGAUUAUAUAAAACUCCAUGAAGAAUUUAAUUUCCACGAGACAUACAUUUCAAACUAUCGAAGAGAUGACUUAAUGAAAUGAAUAAGUCACUUUGGAAAUGAAUUUGUUAUAUGAUGAC